Molecule: ribosomal RNA, 324 nt
Filed under: uncultured eukaryote
Lineage: Eukaryota
Description: partial 18S ribosomal RNA
Rfam family: Eukaryotic small subunit ribosomal RNA
Source: RNAcentral
CCCUUAGAUGCUCUGGGCCGCACGCGCGCUACACUGGUCGAUGCAACGAGUUUCUUUCCUUGGCCGACAGGCCUGGGCAAUCUUUGAACAUCGAUCGUGAUCGGGAUAGAUUCUUGUAAUUUUUGAUCUUAAACGAGGAAUUCCUAGUAAACGCAAGUCAUCAGCUUGCAUUGAUUACGUCCCUGCCCUUUGUACACACCGCCCGUCGCACCUACCGAUUGAAUGGUCCGGUGAAAUCUCCGGACUGGCGUGAGUCGGAGCAAUCUGACAAACGCCGGAAAGUUGAUUAAACCUUACCAUUUAGGGGAAGGUGAAGUCGUAACA